This 252-nucleotide ribosomal RNA is filed under the name uncultured prokaryote. RNAcentral's name for it is "partial 16S ribosomal RNA". It matches the Rfam family "Bacterial small subunit ribosomal RNA", at positions 524 to 776 of the family's 1533-position model. The record is from RNAcentral.
UACGUAGGGGGCAAGCGUUGUCCGGAUUUAUUGGGCGUAAAGGGUUCGCAGGCGGCCUUUUAAGUCAGGUGUGAAAGACUACAGCUCAACUGUGGUAAGCACUUGAAACUGGAAGGCUUGAGUUAAGGAGAGGAAAGUGGAAUUCCUAGUGUAGCGGUGAAAUGCGUAGAUAUUAGGAGGAAUACCAGUGGCGAAGGCGACUUUCUGGACUUAUACUGACGCUGAGGAACGAAAGCGUGGGGAGCAAACAGG